GCGGGGAUGGCCCAGCCCGGUAAGGCGCUGGAUUGCUAAUCCAGUGCUCUUUGAGCUCGGGGGUUCAAAUCCCCCUCCCCGCGCCA
Molecule: transfer RNA, 86 nt
Filed under: Thermoplasmata archaeon
Lineage: Archaea; Methanobacteriati; Thermoplasmatota; Thermoplasmata
Also listed under: 1 other name
Description: tRNA-Ser
Rfam family: tRNA
About the family: Transfer RNA (tRNA) molecules are approximately 80 nucleotides in length. Their secondary structure includes four short double-helical elements and three loops (D, anti-codon, and T loops). Further hydrogen bonds mediate the characteristic L-shaped molecular structure. tRNAs have two regions of fundamental functional importance: the anti-codon, which is responsible for specific mRNA codon recognition, and the 3' end, to which the tRNAs corresponding amino acid is attached (by aminoacyl-tRNA synthetases). tRNAs cope with the degeneracy of the genetic code in two manners: having more than one tRNA (with a specific anti-codon) for a particular amino acid; and 'wobble' base-pairing, i.e. permitting non-standard base-pairing at the 3rd anti-codon position.
Source: RNAcentral